AGUGAACGCUGGCGGUAGGCCUAACACAUGCAAGUCGAACGGCAGCACAGUAAGAGCUUGCUCUUACGGGUAGCGAGUGGCGGACGGGUGAGGAAUACAUCGGAAUCUACUUUUUCGUGGGGGAUAACGUAGGGAAACUUACGCUAAUACCGCAUACGACCUACGGGUGAAAGCAUGGGAUCUUCGGACCUUGCGCGAUUGAAUUAGCCGAUGUCGGAUUAGCUAGUUGGCGGGGUAAAGGCCCACCAAGGCGACGAUCCGUAGCUGGUCUGAGAGGAUGAUCAGCCACACUGGAACUGAGACACGGUCCAGACUCCUACGGGAGGCAGCAGUGGGGAAUAUUGGACAAUGGGCGCAAGCCUGAUCCAGCCAUACCGCGUGGGUGAAGAAGGCCUUCGGGUUGUAAAGCCCUUUUGUUGGGAAAGAAAAGCAGCAGGUUAAUACCCCGCUGUUCUGACGGUACCCAAAGAAUAAGCACCGGCUAACUUCGUG
This 492-nucleotide ribosomal RNA is filed under the name uncultured bacterium. RNAcentral describes it as "partial 16S ribosomal RNA". It matches the Rfam family "Bacterial small subunit ribosomal RNA", at positions 29 to 507 of the family's 1533-position model. The record is from RNAcentral.